Molecule: small nuclear RNA, 333 nt
Filed under: Neotoma lepida (desert woodrat)
Lineage: Eukaryota; Metazoa; Chordata; Mammalia; Rodentia; Cricetidae
Description: 7SK RNA
Rfam family: 7SK RNA
About the family: 7SK was discovered as an abundant small nuclear RNA in the mid-70s but a possible function has only recently been suggested. Two independent studies have found that 7SK RNA binds the CDK9/cyclin T complex (known as elongation factor P-TEFb). P-TEFb activates transcription by phosphorylating the C-terminal domain of RNA polymerase II.
Source: Rfam by way of RNAcentral
GGAUGUCAGGGCAACCUGGCUGCAACAUCCGUCACUCUGUUGAUAGCCAGGGUUGAUUCGGCUGAUCUGGCUGGCUAGGCAGGUGUCCCCUUCCUCUCUCACUGCUCCAGGUUCAUCCCUCCCAAAGCUGUGCACUCUGCAAAGAGGACGACCUUCCUGGAAGAGAGGAGGACUGGUCUUCAGUCACGGGUAUAGGAGUAGCGGCGCUCCUCUGCUAGAACCUCCAAACAAGCUCUUGAAUAGGUCUUUCAGAUUUGAGUCCUCAGCUUAAGGGUUUUUCUCUGUCGAGCUGAGAUGACAGGCACGAGCCGCCACAGCCAGCUCCUCACUGCU